UUAAAUGAUGAGAAAAAUAUUUACACAGACCUGUACUGACCCAUUUCAUGGGGAUGCAGAGAACAAAUUAUUGCCUUUUUAUCUGUAC
This 88-nucleotide small nucleolar RNA is filed under the name Huiozyma naganishii CBS 8797. Its description in RNAcentral is "Kazachstania naganishii CBS 8797 Small nucleolar RNA snR56". It matches the Rfam family "Small nucleolar RNA snR56". Lineage: Eukaryota; Fungi; Ascomycota; Saccharomycetes; Saccharomycetales; Saccharomycetaceae. The record is from Rfam by way of RNAcentral.